Molecule: unclassified non-coding RNA, 401 nt
Filed under: fungal sp.
Lineage: Eukaryota; Fungi
Also listed under: 1 other name
Description: partial internal transcribed spacer region
Rfam family: Eukaryotic small subunit ribosomal RNA (bases 1-46)
Source: RNAcentral
AAGUCGUAACAAGGUUUCCGUAGGUGAACCUGCGGAAGGAUCAUUAACACGUUCCACGUAUCCACCCGAGAACUCGUUCUUUAUAUGAGGAUUAAGCUUCAGCCAUGGUCCUGUAAACUCUGUGCAUACCGCAAAAUAUUUCGAUAAGGAAACAGGCUGUCGAAGCCUGGCGGCUGCCAGUAGAAAUGUCUUUCAAGCUCUCAGAGCUUCAAAGGAGGCACUGAAGAUCUGGUCCUGUUUCUCUUCCUUAUCGAAUUUUUCACAAUUAUUUACCCCUUUCGAAACGUACUAAUUUCAAUUUCUUUCUUGAAGAAAUUAGACAGCUGCACUUGCUGCUGCUGUUCUAAGAACUCUAAGAAAAACCUUAAGAACAACUCUUAACAACGGAUAUCUUGGCUCUC